CCGGUACCGGUUCACGGUUGGCGUCGCGCUCUGUUCGUGCCGUCGAUCGACCCGGCGACC
Molecule: non-coding RNA, 60 nt
Filed under: Haloglycomyces albus DSM 45210
Lineage: Bacteria; Bacillati; Actinomycetota; Actinomycetes; Glycomycetales; Glycomycetaceae
Description: L31-Actinobacteria ribosomal protein leader
Rfam family: L31-Actinobacteria ribosomal protein leader
Source: RNAcentral